AUUGAACGCUGGCGGCAGGCCUAACACAUGCAAGUCGAGCGGUAGCACAGAGAGCUUGCUCUCGGGUGACGAGCGGCGGACGGGUGAGUAAUGUCUGGGAAACUGCCUGAUGGAGGGGGAUAACUACUGGAAACGGUAGCUAAUACCGCAUAACGUCGCAAGACCAAAGUGGGGGACCUUCGGGCCUCAUGCCAUCAGAUGUGCCCAGAUGGGAUUAGCUAGUAGGUGGGGUAACGGCUCACCUAGGCGACGAUCCCUAGCUGGUCUGAGAGGAUGACCAGCCACACUGGAACUGAGACACGGUCCAGACUCCUACGGGAGGCAGCAGUGGGGAAUAUUGCACAAUGGGCGCAAGCCUGAUGCAGCCAUGCCGCGUGUGUGAAGAAGGCCUUCGGGUUGUAAAGCACUUUCAGCGGGGAGGAAGGCGGUGAGGUUAAUAACCUCAUCGAUUGACGUUACCCGCAGAAGAAGCACCGGCUAACUCCGUGCCAGCAGCCGCGGUAAUACGGAGGGUGCAAGCGUUAAUCGGAAUUACUGGGCGUAAAGCGCACGCAGGCGGUCUGUCAAGUCGGAUGUGAAAUCCCCGGGCUCAACCUGGGAACUGCAUUCGAAACUGGCAGGCUAGAGUCUUGUAGAGGGGGGUAGAAUUCCAGGUGUAGCGGUGAAAUGCGUAUAGGUCUGGAGGAAUACCGGUGGCGAAGGCGGCCCCCUGGACAAAGACUGACGCUCAGGUGCGAAAGCGUGGGGAGCAAACAGGAUUAGAUACCCUGGUAGUCCACGCCGUAAACGAUGUCGAUUUGGAGGUUGUGCCCUUGAGGCGUGGCUUCCGGAGCUAACGCGUUAAAUCGACCGCCUGGGGAGUACGGCCGCAAGGUUAAAACUCAAAUGAAUUGACGGGGGCCCGCACAAGCGGUGGAGCAUGUGGUUUAAUUCGAUGCAACGCGAAGAACCUUACCUGGUCUUGACAUCCACAGAACUUUCCAGAGAUGGAUUGGUGCCUUCGGGAACUGUGAGACAGGUGCUGCAUGGCUGUCGUCAGCUCGUGUUGUGAAAUGUUGGGUUAAGUCCCGCAACGAGCGCAACCCUUAUCCUUUGUUGCCAGCGGUCCGGCCGGGAACUCAAAGGAGACUGCCAGUGAUAAACUGGAGGAAGGUGGGGAUGACGUCAAGUCAUCAUGGCCCUUACGACCAGGGCUACACACGUGCUACAAUGGCAUAUACAAAGAAAACCGACCUCGCGAGAGCAAGCGGACCUCAUAAAGUAUGUCGUAGUCCGGAUUGGAGUCUGCAACUCGACUCCAUGAAGUCGGAAUCGCUUGUAAUCGUAGAUCAGAAUGCUACGGUGAAAUACUUUCCGGGGCCU
RNAcentral lists this ribosomal RNA (1362 nucleotides) under uncultured bacterium. RNAcentral's name for it is "bacterial SSU rRNA". It matches the Rfam family "Bacterial small subunit ribosomal RNA", at positions 28 to 1381 of the family's 1533-position model. The record is from RNAcentral.